UCCAUCGAACACGGUGACGAACACGGAAAGCAACCACGUGGCGACGAACACGGCUCCGACUGCCGCGUGGGCCAAGAGCAAAGCGAAUGGUCAGUCCGCUGCAACAGCAAGCGAGGACUGCCCGACCGGCAGCCACGAGCGGCACUCCCGGCUCCCGCGAUGGCGAUGCCACGGCGGUCAGUCCGCCGUCCGCGCGCUCCGGUGGGCAGUGCCGGCUUGCCGCCGUCACAGAGUCACACACACCCUGUCGAGCGAAUAUGCAUGUCUUCUCAAGGUCUAGCUAGCCAUCCACUCGAACUCUCUUGUUCUUGUUACCCAGAUCUACCAGGAGGAUGAUAAUAAUCUGGUCGGCUGGUCUGCUACAUGCCUGCUAUCUGACGACGAAUUCCUGUCGCGGAAUCAGUGUUGAUUUUGACCUCACCCACACCACGGUGGGUGGACUGACGCGCGCAAGAAUCAGGUAAGAGAUGAACAAAACGUUCCCUUCCAUUACCUUUUGGCACAAUCUACUGAACUACUGUAUCCGCACUAUGGGUCAGUUUGAGGGAGCUUAAAAUUCUGAAAAGCAGCCGGUUGAAAGCCAGCUUACGAGAAUCUGGAAAAGCUAGGUUUUCCAGUUUCUGCUUCUAGUUUAUUUUCUUGAUUCUACAACUAUAGCUUCUCUCAGAAUCUGAACCAAAAGCUGGACUGUUUGGGGGGAGCUUCUGAUUCUGGAAGAAGCUGCAGCAGCUGGACUGUUUGGGGGGAGCUUCUAAUUCUGGAAGAAGCUGCAGCAGCUAGAAGCUCCCCCAAUCAGGCCCUAUGACUCCUUGGCUUAAGCCAAGCACACGCCCAUUUGAUGAGAAUUCUUUCAAGAGUUUUACGAAAAUACUAACUUUUCUUCUUCCUUUCUGAGGCAUCUCAACAAACUCUCCACUUGUGAUUCAUGCUUGUGCCCACUGCCCAACCACCACCAAACUACUAUGUUGUAUCUCCUCAUCUUGCUCUUGAUCUUUGCCCCCUCAGCAUCGGCGACCGGGGGAGCGAGUGGCACAGUGCCAGUUCUGAACCCCAUAUCCAGGUUCUGCAACUCGACGGCCGCACGACGGACCUACCAACCGAACAGCACGUUUGAGGCCAACCUUUUGCUAGUCUGGUCGCUGCAAUCGUGGCGAACGCCUCGGCGUCCGGUGGCUUCUCCGCUGGCUCCAUUGGCGCCGCCCCAGACACCGUCUACGGCCUCACGCUCUGCCGAGGGGACGUCACGGGUGCGGACUGCGCUGCGUGCCUCUCCUCAACAUCUGUGGACGACGUACAGCAGUGGUGUGGCCGCAGUAAGGAAGUGACUGUAUACAGGGACACAUGCCAGCUUUGGUUCUCCGAGCAGGACUUUGUCUCUGCUGCCAGUAAUAUCCCAGAGACUGCAGCAUGGAACAUAAACAACAUUACCGAGCCAGUGUUCCCUGGGUGGGACCCAACAACGCCGAGAGUAUUUCCUUUGUCACUGGCACCGUGUAUACACUACUUCGUGAAACAGCAAAGUGGGCAGCGUACAGCACCAAAAAGCGAUUUGCCACCGCGAAGAUGGACAUCGGUGGAGCCUUUCCGACAAUCUAUUCCCUGACGCAGUGCACACCAGACCUUUCUUCAGAAAGUUGCUUCAAGUGUCUUCAGGGUACUAUUCAGGAGUCUCUGAAGUGGUUUGAUGGGAGGAGAGGGGGAAGGAUUAUUGGGGUGCGUUGUUUGAUAAGGUUCGAAACAAGCAUAUUCUACAACGGGGAGCCCAUGCGAAUUAUGGGGCCAUCAACGAAUUCAACAUCUGCAGAUGGCAAUAGAAGCAAGAGAAAGCUCAGUGGUUUGGCUGUAAGCAUAGUGUUUCCCGUGAUGGGUGUACUUCUCUUCUGCGUCAUCCUUGGCUUCGGAUGGAUCAUCAGAAGGAAUAAAAUAGGAAAAGCUUCCCUGCAAGAAAAAACUUCUACAUACUUGUAUGAAGAGGAAGCACUAGCCUGGCCCAUACAAGGACAGAGCUCGGAGUUGUUGUUUGACUUUGCAUGCAUAAUACGUGCAACCAAUAACUUCUCUCGAGAAAACAAAAUUGGUGAAGGUGGCUUUGGUACAAUAUACAAGGGUAAACUUGACAGAUUAGAGAUUGCUGUUAAGAGGCUUGAUUCACAUUCUGGUCAAGGUUUUGUGGAGUUCAGAAAUGAAAUUCAACUUAUAGCCAAACUCCAGCACUCCAAUUUAGUUAGACUCCUGGGUUGCUGCAGUAAAGGAGAAGAGAAGAUAUUGGUGUAUGAAUAUCUACCAAACAAAAAGCCUAGACUUCUUCAUAUUUGAUGAGCCAAAUCAAAGAGCUUUGCUAGAUUGGAACAAACGACUGGCAAUAAUUGAAGGGAUAGCACAAGGACUCCUGUACCUACACAAGCACUCCCGUUUGCGCGUCACACAUAGAGAUCUGAAAGCAAGUAAUGUUCUCUUGGAUCAUAAUAUGAAUCCUAAAAUUUCAGAUUUUGGGCUAGCUAAAAUAUUCAGCUCUAAUGAUAUUGAAGGAAACACAAAAAGGGUGGCGGGUACAUACGGUUACAUGGCUCCUGAGUAUGCUUCUGAGGGUCUCUUCUCGGUCAAAUCCGAUGUGUUCAGUUUCGGUGUUCUGACCCUCGAGAUCGUAAGUGGGAAAAGAAAUCCUGGCUUCCACCAGUAUGGUGACUUCCUAAAUCUUCUAGGAUAUGCCUGGCAGCUAUGGACAGAGGGAAGAUGGCUCAAACUCAUAGAUGUGGUCCUGUUAACCGAUUGCCUAGUAGAAGCACCACUGAUGAUGAAAUGCGUCAACAUCGCAUUGCUAUGUGUACAGGAGAAUGCGGCUGAUCGACCUACCAUGUCAGAUGUCGUGGCAAUGCUAAGCAGUGAAGGGGUGAGUCUGCCUGUGCCCAAGCACCCAGCAUACUUCAACGUAAGGGUCAGAAACGGAGAGGCGUCGUCAGCUAUUGAUCUUGAGCUGUGCAGUGUGAAUGAAGUGACCAUUACAGCCCCAGGUGACCUUAUCCUCUGGAUACUCAAGUAACACAGAGGACCAGUGCAUUCGGCAUUGGAUGACAAGUCAGCUUUCAUUGGAACAGUACUAACUAAGGUCUCCUGUUGCAAGCAGUUUUUGAGAUGAUAGAAGAAUAUUCCUGGCCCGAAGCUGGAUGAUUAAAUGAUUAUGUGAUGUUCUUUGUUUCCUCUAGAAAACAAUGGAAGUUUUUAUUGUUUGGUUUGCAAUCAAGGAUCUUUGUUUUGCUCUUGUUGGGAUCGUUUGGGCAUUUCAAGGACAUUUUUAGUGGUUGAUCGAAGAAAAAUUCUAUUCGACACUGAGUUCAUAUUUUGAGGGUAUUCUGGUACAAUUUAUUUUUCAUAGAGAAAAGGCCAUACCGCCAUACUGCCCUGCUUUUAUAUAUCGAAAACGCGGUACAAUUUAUUGGAGUUACUUACUUCAGAAAUGAGAACUACGGCAAUGGUAAUCUUGAAAUCACAACGA
Molecule: non-coding RNA, 3493 nt
Organism: Oryza sativa Japonica Group (Japanese rice)
Lineage: Eukaryota; Viridiplantae; Streptophyta; Magnoliopsida; Poales; Poaceae
Source: RefSeq, a predicted model, not a curated record